This 2184-nucleotide ribosomal RNA is filed under the name Triticum aestivum (bread wheat). RNAcentral describes it as "partial small subunit ribosomal RNA". Lineage: Eukaryota; Viridiplantae; Streptophyta; Magnoliopsida; Poales; Poaceae. The record is from RNAcentral.
AUGGACCCGUCCAGCGCCGGCCUCUGGGCCCGCCUCCGCCGCAUGGUGCUCCGCCUGGGGUGUCCAUGUGGCGAGGAGCACGACCUGGCCAUCAGGAUCCGCGACCUCAAGGCCCGCGUCAAGGACAUCGGCGAGAGACGGGAGCGCUACCAAGUCAGCAUCCCCAAGCUCAAGGAAGAGGAAGCGACGCCCCCGCUGACGCCGGCCGAGGCCCAAGCAAGCCAGGACAAGAUCGACGAGGCCAGAGAAGAAUUUGUACGUGCGCUGGCACGUGACCAAGAGAAACAGGAGAAGAAGAACGAGGCCAUCGGUCUCGUUACUCAAUUUGUACGUGCGUUGGCACGUGACAAGGAAAAGCAGCAGAAGAAGGAGCUCGUCCCAUGUUUUGACGAGGCCAUCCGUCUCCUCCCUUUUAAGGAUCUUCAAUCGGCGGCCACCAAAGUACGUGAUUGCCUCCUUCAAAAUUUGUCGACCGAGGAGAGUGCGGCCAUCUGCAUGGAGAUGCUCCUCCGUGCUCUUCGGGAUCAUAGCCAUGCCCGCCCGGCGGUCCAGAAGACCAAGAAAGAACUGAUGAAAUUAGUGGAUGAAGCGGACACGGACAUCCAAGAUUUUCCCACUCAAGUCAUGAUCUUCUGCUACAGCAAGCUGUCCAGGAGCUACAAGAGCUGCUUGCAGUAUCUCUAUGCCUUCCGCCAUGAAGCCGCCAUCAGCAGGACGAGCUUGGUCAGGCGAUGGCUCGCCGAAGGCCGCGUGGAGAAGCAAGCAGGUUUUGAUGGUACCCUCGAGGAGGCAGCGGAGCUCUGCUUCAAAGAUCUCCUCUUCCGGGGGUUCCUUCUUCCUGUCGACGACCCAGCCACCGCUUCCAGCAAGGUCAAGACCUUCACAAUUGACGACACCGUCUGGCGCUUCCUCUAUCGCAUGUCCACAACGGAGAACUUUGUGGACAACCUGCCGACUCACCUCGAAAACCAGCUUCGCAUCCGGAAAUUUGUGAAACGGCAAGAGGAGCAUCAGAAGAAUCAUCCACGACCACGCCACCCGUGGAGCAUCUGUGGCCGUUGGACGAGGCCUCCGCCGGAUGACAGCAUGGUGGCAGAUCCCGAUCCCAUGGAUGCCAUGAUAAACUUCCUCAAGUCUCUCGGCCAAACCUACCGGCUAAAUGUGCUGGAUCUUGGGGGUUGCAAGGGUCUAAAGACGAGCCACCUCAAGAGCAUCUGCAACAUGGUCUCGCUCAAGUACCUCAGCAUCCGGAACACGGACGUCUCCCGCCUACCCCCAGAGGUCAGCCAUCUCAUACUGCUGGAGACGCUCGACAUCCGGCAAACUAAGGUAUGGGGCCCAGACAUGAAGCACAUUUACCUCCGAAAGCUAAAGCACCUGCUCACCGGCCCGAAGAUGACGACGGAGGAGGAGACAAUCCGCGGGGCAGGGAUGCCUCGCUUGAUCGGAAAGAUGGAAGACAUGGAGAUACUGUCCCGGGUCCAGGUUGAACACGGCAUGAAGGAACUCGAAGAAGUUGGCCGCCUGCUGAAGCUUAGGAAGCUGGGCGUGGUUCUCAUUGGCAGCCAAAGCCAAGCUCAAGACAACAUGGCCAGUCUGCUCCGAGUAAUGACCAAGUUGAGAGAUUGCUUACGCUCUCUCUCAAUAUGGGUCACUCCGCCACCCACAAAUGGCGACCCUAGUGUCACUGUGAAUAUGGUGAUGACACAAGAUUAUGCCCCCAAGUUACUUGAGAGCCUGGAUAUCAGGGGCGUGCGCUUUCUCAACACCGGGUUGCCUCACUGGAUCUGGGCGCUGCAAGAACUCUGUGAGAUUACACUGUGUGACACCUUUCUGUCUAAAGUCUCUCUGCAGGACCUUGGCAACAAGCUCCAUCACUUGCGCCGCCUUCGGCUCCUUCGCAACUCGUACAACGAGCCAAAGCUCACUUUCAGCAAGGAUGGUUUCCAAGACCUCAGGUUCCUCAUCGUCGAGGGCAACACCAUCACCACCGUCAGCAUUGAACAAGGUGGCGCAGCCCCUUUGCUCAAGAAGAUCGUUUGGCACAACAUGGCCAUCAAUCAGGCGGGCAAACUUUCUGGAAUUCACCACCUUAAGAGGCUGCAAGAGGUGGUGCUCAAGGGCAACUUCACCAACCCGAGCUCCAUUCCACACAACGAUGGGUGCAAAAUAACUGAGGCAUGA